This 279-nucleotide ribosomal RNA is filed under the name uncultured bacterium. Its description in RNAcentral is "partial 16S ribosomal RNA". It matches the Rfam family "Bacterial small subunit ribosomal RNA", at positions 506 to 784 of the family's 1533-position model. The record is from RNAcentral.
UGCCAGCAGCCGCGGUAAUACAUAGGGUGCAAGCGUUAAUCGGGAAUUACUGGGCGUAAAGCGUUCGCAGGCGGUUUUAUAAGUCAGAUGUGAAAUCCCCGAGCUCAACUUGGGAACUGCGUUUGAAACUGUAAAACUAGAGUGUGUCAGAGGGGGGUAGAAUUCCAUGUGUAGCAGUGAAAUGCGUAGAUAUGUGGAGGAAUACCAAUGGCGAAGGCAGCCCCCUGGGAUAACACUGACGCUCAUGAACGAAAGCGUGGGCGCAAACAGUAUUCGAUA